This is a long non-coding RNA of Pan troglodytes (chimpanzee), 384 nucleotides long. RefSeq lists it as uncharacterized. The record is from RefSeq and is a predicted model, not a curated record. The transcript is spliced from 2 exons. NCBI's taxonomy places the organism in Eukaryota, Metazoa, Chordata, Mammalia, Primates, Hominidae.
ACCCCUUCACAAUCUAGAACCUGAAGAUUGGAUCUUCCAAAAACAUCAGAAAAAGACUGCCCUUGCCAUCCACAUUGCAGCAAACUUUGAAACCUUGAACCUUGGGUUAAUAAUCUUACAACUGAGAAAGGCCCCUCCACACUCUUAGAACCUCACAUGCAUUGGAACCCUUAAGAUUGAAUAAGAAGAGAAGAAAUCCUUAUUUUUCAGCCCAAGACACUAACCGGGAUUAAGCCUAUGUCAUUUGCUCUUCAAAGUCUGGGUUUUCUUUCAGAAACACACUGGACAUUAUAUGGGAAUAACACUUAGAGACUGGGCUGUGGAGAAGACCAAAGAGUCUGCUACAAUAUAUUAGCAAAUAAAUUCUCUUACUUCUAACAUAAA